RNAcentral lists this transfer RNA (107 nucleotides) under Sclerotinia nivalis. It matches the Rfam family "tRNA". Rfam says of the family: Transfer RNA (tRNA) molecules are approximately 80 nucleotides in length. The record is from Rfam by way of RNAcentral. Lineage: Eukaryota; Fungi; Ascomycota; Leotiomycetes; Helotiales; Sclerotiniaceae.
GCGGCUUUAGCUCACUUGGGAGAGCGCCAGACUGAAGUCCACUUCAGGAACCGUAAUAGAUUCGUCUGUUUAUCUGGAGGCACUGUGUUCGAUCCACAGAAGCCGCA